CAGAUUCAGAUCUGCCUUCAGCUGCUGUAGCAGGAAUAGUUGUUGCUGUUGUUCUGCUUGUGGCUGCUGCUGCUGUAGCUGCUGGUGUGGUUUACUGUCGCCGCAGGAGCCAUACAGCAGUACCACAGAAUGAGGAUGAUGAUGGUAACUCACCGCCUGAUCCUAAGGUAGAUGGGAUGUCCUUAAACUCUGUUUACUCACAAAGUGAUCCGAAGAUUUCAGUAGUCAGUACCAAUACCAGUACAAUUGUCACACCUGUUAUAGCAUACCAAUUUAAAUGACAUAAACAAUUAUUUUUAUUUUAUUUUUUUAAAUAGAUUAAAAGGUAACAUUUAGCAUUGAAAAGUAUAUGAGAAAUAAUGUAAGUAACAUGGUAACAGCAUUAGAACAGAGUUGUUGUUUUUUUGUAUGUAGAGGUUUAUCAAAUCUGCUAAAGUGAUUGAGAUGGAAACAGAACAGUGAGACAUCUGUUUCAUGUUUGUUGCACUACAGGAAGUAUUAAUGCACUGAUCUGGUUUGACAUAUGAGUCAUUGUGUCCAGCCUGUUUAUAUCCGUACUGAUAGAACGGACUGCGUUUCCACAAAUACCGCACCAAGUUGAGCAUUACACUGGGGGGGAUAUCUUUUCAAUAUUUUUGUUUUGUUUCCCAUUUCAUCAAGAUGCAUUAAAGGCAGA
Molecule: long non-coding RNA, 676 nt
Organism: Sinocyclocheilus rhinocerous
Lineage: Eukaryota; Metazoa; Chordata; Actinopteri; Cypriniformes; Cyprinidae
Exons: 2
Source: RefSeq, a predicted model, not a curated record